GACAGACACGAACAGAAGGAAGAUGAUGUAAAGGCAGGGAGAACAUCAUGUGAAGAAGGAGGAUUGAAGUGACGCAUCUGCAAGCAAAGGAAUGCCACAGAUUGCCAGCAAACCCAGAAGCUAGGAAGAGGCAAGGAAGGAUUCUUCUGAAGCUUUCGGAGGAAGCAUGGCCCGGCCAACACCUUGAUUUCUGAUUUCUAAACUACUCAGCCCGCCUGCACCCAGGUGAAAUAAACAGCCUUGUUGCUCACACAAAGCCUGUUUGGUGGUCUCUUCACAUGGACACAUGAGACACUUGGUGCCGAAGACCCAGGUCAGUGAGACUCCUUCAGGAGACCAGUCCCCUGUCCUCACCCUCACUCCGUGAGGAAAUCCACCUAUGACCUUGGGUCCUCAGACCAACCAGCCCAAGGAACAUCUCACCGAUUUUAAAUCAGAUCUACUUGGCUUAGCUGCUGAAGACUGAUGCUGACUGAUCCCCUCAGAAGCCCCCAGACCAUCACGGACACCAAGCUUUGGGUAACUCUUACAGUGGAGGGAAGGCAGGAAUGUCAGGCCUCUGAGCACAGCUAAGCUGUCAUAUCCCCUGUGACCUGCACGAAUACAUCCAGAUGGCCUGAAGCAACUGAAGAUCCACAAAAGAAGUGAAAAUAGCCUUAACUGAUGACAUUCCACCAUUGUGAUUUGUUUCUGCCCCACCCUAACUGAUCAAUGUACUUUGUCAUCUCCCCCAUCCUUAAGAAGGUUCUUUGUAAUUCUCCCCACCCUUGAGAAUGUACUUUGUGAGAUCCAUCCCCUGCCCUCAAAACAUUGCUCCUAAUUCCACUGCCUAUCCCAAAAUCUAUAAGAACUAAUGAUAAUCCACCACCCUUUGCUGACUCUCUU
This 885-nucleotide long non-coding RNA is filed under the name Homo sapiens (human). RNAcentral's name for it is "HSALNT0091973". The record is from RNAcentral. Lineage: Eukaryota; Metazoa; Chordata; Mammalia; Primates; Hominidae.